AUGGCGUCAGAAUCGUCGUAUGAGACUCGCCGUUCGACGCCGAAUCGCCGCUCUAUUCCGGCAACGAAGCCCUCCAUUUCGCAUUUUCGCUCUCUCAGAUCCAACAACAGCAGCUCCGGCAACGGCAAGGAUGCCUCCGAGAACGGAGUCGUACACGAUUCGGACGGGAAUCGCAACGCAAACGUAGGAGAGGUGCCACGGUUAGAGUGGGAUGCAAAGACAAGUCAGGCAUGGCACUCUUGGUAUAGCAAAAGAGAACGAUUGACUCAACUAGAACCUACAGGAUUGUAGUUGAAGGGGACCAUGAGAACCAGAUCUGUGAUGCUAUAAUUGUGAGCAACACUCAUAAGAGCUGUUCUGAUGCUAUCCUCUCCAGCUACAAUGGCAUGGCAUCAAACUAUCGUUUUGCUAAUGCUAUGGGGUUCAUGAGGACUGAGGCCUUGUCCAUUUAGUUGAACCACUAAUUAUCUGCUACUGUAUUUUCCACUACACUAGGUGAGUCCCUACUGGUAAUACAUUGUUACUGCAUUUCUGGAAAUAGUUGUUGCUACACUAGUUGAGCCACUAAAAACAUGCUACUGCGUUUUUUGAAAAUAGCUGUUACUACACUAGAUGAGCCACUAAAAGUACCUGCUACUACAUUUAUUGUAAAUAGCUGCUACUGCAGUUACUAGAAAUAGUUGCUACUACACUAUAACUGAGCCAUCAAAAACUUGCUACUACAUUUACUGGAAAUCUAAAUAAUAAUAUGUAGUUAUUCAUGUGUGAAGGUUAUAAUUGUAAAUGAAUUGUUGACACAUUACAACAUAAAAAUAGUUGCCCUUCUUUGUAAGAUUUUAUCCUUAUAAGUUGUAAGACAAAAAUUAUGUCCUUAUUUAUGUGUAUUGAAUCUUUUCCAAUGAUGUAUAUGUAGUUUGUUAUAAAAAAAAAUAAGACUAAUCAUUUAAAUGAGCUAAUGCAGUCCCCGGGCCACCACUACACUUUCUUACAGAAUGACCCCAAAAUUUAUGGGACUAUGGAGCCUUUAUCUUGCUUUCGUUGUUGUUCUACUCUUCUCAGAAUUGCUCUUCUCUCUUCAAUUCGAUUUAGCAGCUGAUUCAUCUCUCCUCGCCUCCUUGAAUCUGUAAUUAAGUUCUUCUGGGUUGUACUUGGUUAUAGAGUAUUUGGAUCAAUUUUCUGGGUUUGUGGAGGCCUCCAUCAAUCUUGUUUUCAGAGGCUCCUCUAGCAAUUUUAUGGG
Fragaria vesca subsp. vesca is the source of this 1237-nucleotide RNA transcript. RefSeq lists it as uncharacterized. The transcript has 2 exons. The record is from RefSeq and is a predicted model, not a curated record. Lineage: Eukaryota; Viridiplantae; Streptophyta; Magnoliopsida; Rosales; Rosaceae.